AGUGAACGCUGGCGGUAGGCCUAACACAUGCAAGUCGAACGGCAGCACAGUAAGAGCUUGCUCUUACGGGUGGCGAGUGGCGGACGGGUGAGGAAUACAUCGGAAUCUACUUUUUCGUGGGGGAUAACGUAGGGAAACUUACGCUAAUACCGCAUACGACCUACGGGUGAAAGCAGGGGAUCUUCGGACCUUGCGCGAUUGAAUGAGCCGAUGUCGGAUUAGCUAGUUGGCGGGGUAAAGGCCCACCAAGGCGACGAUCCGUAGCUGGUCUGAGAGGAUGAGCAGCCACAGUGGAACUGAGACACGGUCCAGACUCCUACGGGAGGCAGCAGUGGGGAAUAUUGGACAAUGGGCGCAAGCCUGAUCCAGCCAUACCGCGUGGGUGAAGAAGGCCUUCGGGUUGUAAAGCCCUUUUGUUGGGAAAGAAAAGCAGCAGGUUAAUACCCCGCUGUUCUGACGGUACCCAAAGAAUAAGCACCGGCUAACUUCGU
RNAcentral lists this ribosomal RNA (491 nucleotides) under uncultured bacterium. Its description in RNAcentral is "partial 16S ribosomal RNA". It matches the Rfam family "Bacterial small subunit ribosomal RNA", at positions 29 to 506 of the family's 1533-position model. The record is from RNAcentral.